RNAcentral lists this long non-coding RNA (1116 nucleotides) under Homo sapiens (human). RNAcentral's name for it is "non-protein coding lnc-CH25H-2:1". Lineage: Eukaryota; Metazoa; Chordata; Mammalia; Primates; Hominidae. The record is from RNAcentral.
GAGCUGUACAAAGAUGCUGAUGAGGGGCUGCAGCAUGCAAUUCACUUCACCAGCAGUCACUAAGAGUCUCGCUCUGUAGCCAGGCUGGAGUGCAGUGGCACAAUCUCGGCUCACUGCAACCUUCACCUCCUGGGUUCAAGAAAUUCACCUGCCUCAGCCUCCCGAAUAGUUGGGACUGCAGAGGAAAGGCCAUGUGAAGAUAAAGAAAAGGCUGCCAUCUCCAGGUCAGGAAGAGAGGUCUCACCAGAAACCAACUUGGACUUCUAGCAUCUAGAACUAUGUUUAUUGUAAGGAUUAAAUCAGCUAAACCAAGAAAAGCCUCAGGGAUGGUGCCUGGCAAACUGCACGCUGUUAAUACAUGUUAGUGGACCCUUCUCCACACCUUCCUGCUACACUAAAGCAGAGAGAAUUACCUCCUGAAUCAUGUUUGCAGAACUUCUGGGCACAGUGACUCAACUCCCAGCUAUUCUUGUCAUGGAUUUUUUCUCUUGGAGCCAAUCCAGCCAUGGAGAUCACUGGUCUUGUGACUUAUUUUUUCUCUUUCAGUAUGAAAUCAUUAGAACUGAGAAAAUGAAAACAUUCCUGUUAUUACUUCCUGAGAGAAAGAAACUUAGUAACAUGCUUUGGUAGGAAUUGUUCUUCUUUUUCCUGCUGUGUCCCUCUUGCUGGUCCCACCAGGGCUCUUGGUCCUGAGCCUGAUUUACACCAGGAGCAUAAUCUGAUCAAAAAGAGGGAAACUAAAGAAAAAAGGCAGGAUUGUAUGAGGGGUUCUCACAAUGGCAGUACAUAAUCCCUUAUACCUCGUAUUAUGUAGACCCCUGUGUUUCCAAGUUACCUUUGUAAUUUAGGUAAGUGAGCACGAAACACUUAAAAAAACACAAAUGAAAACAAGAGAAAGGAAAGAGUGGGGAGGGGUUUGUUUAUUUUUGAAAACAACGACAACAACAUAGAGUAAAAGUUACCAGGUAAGUUCAAAUAUAGUAGUACUUUGUUUUCUUGGAAGAUGAAUGAAAGAAGUCACCUUACUGCCUCCAAUCCAGUCAUAUCCCUGAACCCAAUCAUGACCAGCAGAGGUUGUUCUAAAUUGUUUCCUCCAAUAUAGAGAUAAUUGCCAAU